This 501-nucleotide ribosomal RNA is filed under the name uncultured bacterium. Its description in RNAcentral is "partial 16S ribosomal RNA". It matches the Rfam family "Bacterial small subunit ribosomal RNA", at positions 30 to 523 of the family's 1533-position model. The record is from RNAcentral.
AUUGAACGCUGGCGGCAGGCUUAACACAUGCAAGUCGAGCGGGGGAAGGUAGCUUGCUACCGGACCUAGCGGCGGACGGGUGAGUAAUGCUUAGGAAUCUGCCUAUUAGUGGGGGACAACAUCUCGAAAGGGAUGCUAAUACCGCAUACGUCCUACGGGAGAAAGCAGGGGAUCUUCGGACCUUGCGCUAAUAGAUGAGCCUAAGUCGGAUUAGCUAGUUGGUGGGGUAAAGGCCUACCAAGGCGACGAUCUGUAGCGGGUCUGAGAGGAUGAUCCGCCACACUGGGAAUGAGACACGGCCCAGACUCCUACGAGAGGCGGCAGUGGGGAAUAUUGGACAAUGGGGGGAACCCUGAUCCAGCCAUGCCGCGUGUGUGAAGAAGGCCUUAUGGUUGUAAAGCACUUUAAGCGAGGAGGAAGCUACUCUAGUUAAUACCUAGGGAUAGUGGACGUUACUCGCAGAAUAAGCACCGGCUAACUCUGUGCCAGCCGCCGCAGUAA